RNAcentral lists this transfer RNA (72 nucleotides) under Camelus bactrianus (Bactrian camel). It matches the Rfam family "tRNA". From Rfam's summary of the family: Transfer RNA (tRNA) molecules are approximately 80 nucleotides in length. Their secondary structure includes four short double-helical elements and three loops (D, anti-codon, and T loops). The record is from Rfam by way of RNAcentral. RNAcentral also lists the same sequence under 2 other names. Lineage: Eukaryota; Metazoa; Chordata; Mammalia; Artiodactyla; Camelidae.
GAGGGUAUAGCUCAGUGGUAGAGUGUGUGCUCAGCAUGCAUGAGGCCCUGGGUUCAACCCCCAGUACCUCCA